This 439-nucleotide ribosomal RNA is filed under the name uncultured bacterium. RNAcentral describes it as "partial 16S ribosomal RNA". It matches the Rfam family "Bacterial small subunit ribosomal RNA", at positions 339 to 795 of the family's 1533-position model. The record is from RNAcentral.
CUACGGGUUGCACCAGUGAGGAAUAUUGCACAAUGGGGGGAACCCUGAUGCAGCAACGCCGCGUGGAGGAUGACGCAUUUCGGUGUGUAAACUCCUUUUAUAUGUCAAGAAAAUGACGGUAGCAUAUGAAUAAGCACCGGCUAACUCCGUGCCAGCAGCCGCGGUAAUACGGAGGGUGCAAGCGUUACUCGGAAUCACUGGGCGUAAAGGACGCGUAGGCGGGUUAGAAAGUCAGGUGUGAAAUCCUACAGCUUAACUGUAGAACUGCACUUGAAACUUCUAAUCUAGAGUAUGGGAGGGGGAGAUGGAAUUAGUGGUAUAGGGGUAAAAUCCGUAGAUAUCACUAGGAAUACCUAAAGCGAAGGCGAUCUCCUGGAACAUUACUGACGCUAAGGCGUGAAAGCGUGGGGAGCAAACAGGAUUAGAUACCCGAGUAGUC